This 460-nucleotide ribosomal RNA is filed under the name uncultured bacterium. RNAcentral describes it as "partial 16S ribosomal RNA". It matches the Rfam family "Bacterial small subunit ribosomal RNA", at positions 338 to 795 of the family's 1533-position model. The record is from RNAcentral.
CCUACGGGUGGCAGCAGUGAGGAAUAUUGGUCAAUGGACGCAAGUCUGAACCAGCCACGCCGCGUGCAGGAAGACGGCUCUAUGAGUUGUAAACUGCUUUUGUACGAGGGUAAACGCAGAUACGCGUAUCUGUCUGAACGUAUCGUACGAAUAAGGAUCGGCUAACUCCGCGCCAGCAGCCGCGGUAAUACGGAGGAUUCAAGCGUUAUCCGGAUUUAUUGGGUUUAAAGGGUGCGUAGGCGGUCGGAUAAGUUAGAGGUGAAAGCCCGAGGCUCAACUUCGGAAUUGCCUUUGAUACUGUUCGGCUAGAGAGUAGUUGCGGUAGGCGGAAUGUAUGGUGUAGCGGUGAAAUGCUUAGAGAUCAUACAGAACACCGGUUGCGAAGGCAGCUUACCAAGCUACUUCUGACGUUGAGGCACGAAAGCGUGGGGAGCAAACAGGAUUAGAUACCCGAGUAGUC